GAAAUAGCCUCAUCAAAGGCCUGUGCAGGCAAAAAUAUUGCAGUGAUUACAAAGAGAGAAUCCUACUACAUAGAAUGAUUGGCAAGAAAUCCAAAAUGUCAAUCAUGGAAAGAUUUGAUCACCCAAUAGAAAGACAAGGCACCGAACAUCUAGUUUGUAAACUGAUACAUGUUUAAAUGUUUACGGGGAAUAUGGAUACAAGUAAAAUAAACUGAGAUCAGGCAAGAAAAAGUUGUUCAGCCUAUAAUUUCUAUAAGCUGUAAAGAGGUAGUCAAUGAAAUGUAAAGGAUAACCAGCUCUAGAUUACAUACCAGCUUCAAAGCUAUCAACUAAUGUCAAUGAAAUGUAAAGGAUAACCAGCUCUAGAUUACAUACCAGCUUCAAAGCUAUCAACUAAU
Molecule: unclassified non-coding RNA, 398 nt
Filed under: Hevea brasiliensis (rubber tree)
Lineage: Eukaryota; Viridiplantae; Streptophyta; Magnoliopsida; Malpighiales; Euphorbiaceae
Source: RNAcentral